RNAcentral lists this ribosomal RNA (497 nucleotides) under uncultured bacterium. RNAcentral's name for it is "partial 16S ribosomal RNA". It matches the Rfam family "Bacterial small subunit ribosomal RNA", at positions 28 to 507 of the family's 1533-position model. The record is from RNAcentral.
GACGAACGCUGGCGGCGUGCCUAAUACAUGCAAGUAGAACGCUGAAGAGAGGAGCUUGCUCUUCUUGGAUGAGUCGCGAACGGGUGAGUAACGCGUAGGUAACCUGCCUUGUAGCGGGGGAUAACUAUUGGAAACGAUAGCUAAUACCGCAUAACAAUGGAUGACCCAUGUCAUUUAUUUGAAAGGGGCAAAUGCUCCACUACAAGAUGGACCUGCGUUGUAUUAGCUAGUAGGUGAGGUAACGGCUCACCUAGGCGACGAUACAUAGCCGACCUGAGAGGGUGAUCGGCCACACUGGGACUGAGACACGGCCCAGACUCCUACGGGAGGCAGCAGUAGGGAAUCUUCGGCAAUGGGGGCAACCCUGACCGAGCAACGCCGCGUGAGUGAAGAAGGUUUUCGGAUCGUAAAGCUCUGUUGUAAGUCAAGAACGAGUGUGAGAGUGGAAAGUUCACACUGUGACGGUAGCUUACCAGAAAGGGACGGCUAACUACGUG